UGGUACCUACCGUGAGGUGAGGAAUACCACCGAGAAAUCGGUGACAAGACCGCAUAGCUUUCGUGUGUAGGCACGAAGGAAAGCUCCGCAAGGGGCGCCACACGAUGGGCCUGUGCCUGAUUAGCUAGUUGGUGGGGUAAGAGCCCACCAAGGCGACGAUCGGUAGCUGGUCUGAGAGGAUGGUCAGCCACACUGGGACUGAGACACGGCCCAG
RNAcentral lists this ribosomal RNA (214 nucleotides) under uncultured bacterium. RNAcentral describes it as "partial 16S ribosomal RNA". It matches the Rfam family "Bacterial small subunit ribosomal RNA", at positions 119 to 334 of the family's 1533-position model. The record is from RNAcentral.